UAAGGCUUUAAGUUAAGCAAACUAUUAGCCUUCAAAGCUGAAAAUAAAAUUUUAAAUUUAAGCCUUAA
Molecule: transfer RNA, 68 nt
Filed under: Protohermes concolorus
Lineage: Eukaryota; Metazoa; Arthropoda; Insecta; Megaloptera; Corydalidae
Description: tRNA-Trp
Rfam family: tRNA
About the family: Transfer RNA (tRNA) molecules are approximately 80 nucleotides in length.
Source: RNAcentral